GACGAACGCUGGCGGCGUGCCUAAUACAUGCAAGUUGAGCGAUGAAGAUUGGUGCUUGCACCCAUUUGAAGAGCAGCGAACGGGUGAGUAACGCGUGGGGAAUCUGCCUUUGAGCGGGGGACAACAUUUGGAAACGAAUGCUAAUACCGCAUAACAACUUUAAACAUAAGUUUUAAGUGUGAAAGGUGCAAUUGCAUCACUCAAAGAUGAUCCCGCGUUGUAUUAGCUAGUUGGUGAGGUAAAGGCUCACCAAGGCGAUGAUACAUAGCCGACCUGAGAGGGUGAUCGGCCACAUUGGGACUGAGACACGGCCCAAACUCCUACGGGAGGCCGCAGUAGGGAAUCUUCGGCAAUGGACGAAAGUCUGACCGCGCAACGCCGCGUGAGUGAAGAAGGUUUUCGGAUCGUAAAACUCUGUUGGUAGAGAAGAACGUUGGUGAGAGUGGAAAGCUCAUCAAGUGACGGUAACUACCCAGAAAGGGACGGCUAACUACGUG
RNAcentral lists this ribosomal RNA (497 nucleotides) under uncultured bacterium. RNAcentral's name for it is "partial 16S ribosomal RNA". It matches the Rfam family "Bacterial small subunit ribosomal RNA", at positions 28 to 507 of the family's 1533-position model. The record is from RNAcentral.